Molecule: long non-coding RNA, 407 nt
Filed under: Sinocyclocheilus anshuiensis
Lineage: Eukaryota; Metazoa; Chordata; Actinopteri; Cypriniformes; Cyprinidae
Description: lncRNA (ENSSANG00000019892.1)
Source: RNAcentral
GCUCGCUAUUGGCUGCGCUGAGGGAGUAGCAGAGAGCGUUUACAGUACAGCCUUUGAAGAAGGCAGAGUGAAGUAUGACAGAUGAGGCUGAUCGGCACGCGAUGUUCACCGUUUGCAUAGAUGAAAACACCUCUCGAUAUACAAGAGUUAUUUCAUCAUUAGAUGGGGAAGGAUAUUCCUGUGGACUGCUUUUAUUUCCAACUGUGCUCGUUGAAUAAUUUGACACCCUGCUUGGAUCUAUACUAAACCCAUGGACGUCUACUCCUAAGUCAAGCCUGACAAGAAUUUAGAUCCAGCGCACAGCUAGCACAUAAUAAAUGAACCCUUCUGCCUGCAUGUGAAUGUGCCAAAACCUAUCCCCUGGGCCCGGUUUUUCAAAAGGUUUAAUCCGGAUAAAAUUCCGAUUA